AUGUACCACUCGUACACUGCGGUUCCUGUGCGCCGUCCGCACCCACCUGACGACUGCUCGCUACGUUUUGUUAGCU
RNAcentral lists this small RNA (76 nucleotides) under Xanthomonas vasicola pv. vasculorum NCPPB 1381. Its description in RNAcentral is "sX9". It matches the Rfam family "Xanthomonas sRNA sX9". The record is from RNAcentral. Lineage: Bacteria; Pseudomonadati; Pseudomonadota; Gammaproteobacteria; Lysobacterales; Lysobacteraceae.